RNAcentral lists this unclassified non-coding RNA (340 nucleotides) under Hevea brasiliensis (rubber tree). The record is from RNAcentral. Lineage: Eukaryota; Viridiplantae; Streptophyta; Magnoliopsida; Malpighiales; Euphorbiaceae.
ACUAGGCACAUCUAAAUUUACAAAUUUUUCUAAGAAUGUCCAUCGAUAUGGGGUCCAAAAUAUUCUUUGUACAGUGAAAUUUGUCAAAUUCAAUUCUUUUUGGAUGUCUUUGGUCGUGACCGCACGCUGGCUCUCCGUGCAACAUCCCAUGGCUUCUGUGGAGCAUAUAUACCUAGCUGUGCAGCAAAAAAUGACUCAUACCCAGGUGAAUCAAAAGCAAAGCCAGUGUGUUUAGAUAUCUCUCGUGGGAGUUGAGCUAUGGCGUAGCUCCUUUCCUCAUGUGGUGUAAGCUGGUUCUCUAUCUCCAGCAAUCCUGCCCUACUGUUGUCAUCAGGUUCAU